Molecule: non-coding RNA, 26 nt
Filed under: Drosophila melanogaster (fruit fly)
Lineage: Eukaryota; Metazoa; Arthropoda; Insecta; Diptera; Drosophilidae
Source: RNAcentral
UCCCGCGAGUUAUUAACAAACAAAAU